GAGUCUGCAUCUACAUACAAUCUAACUUCUUCCUGUUGGUUCCAGUCUGGAGGAGCCUGAAUGAUGGAGGAUCUGCUGAUUGGCUUAUCACCCUCCCUCCUCUAGGGGACCAAAUUGCAGGCAGGUGGGCUGCUGCAAAACUAACCGGAGUACUCACCACAGCCUUGACUCUGCCUCUCCCUGGGGCCUUGGAGGGUGACAGCGUGUGGUUGGGGCAUAGCAAGCUGGGAGAGGAGAGCAAGGACAAUCCGAAUCCUUCCACCUAAUGUGUUGUCUGCUGUUCUCAGACUCCAUGCAUUUGCCAGGUCUGCCUUGCAAAUCAGGGAUUUUCACUAGGAGGCCUGCUUUCACAAGGCUUGGGGAAGCAGAAGAUUGAACCCGGCUGUUCCACGGAAGACCUUAUAUCUGCUGCCCCAUGGGACAGGGUGCUAUCUGUGACAGGACUGGAAGCAAAAUACAUGGAGUGUCACCUUCAGCCUGUUUUCUGAGAGCAUUCGUGGAAGAAAACACUUACAUUACCUCCCAGAGGGGUCUCUGCUUCCAGAGUAGGCAGCAGGAUACAAUGCUUAUCAAAUGAAGGACUCUGGUUCCCUCUUGGCCA
Long non-coding RNA from Mesocricetus auratus (golden hamster), 601 nucleotides. RefSeq lists it as uncharacterized. The record is from RefSeq and is a predicted model, not a curated record. The transcript is spliced from 2 exons. Lineage: Eukaryota; Metazoa; Chordata; Mammalia; Rodentia; Cricetidae.